RNAcentral lists this ribosomal RNA (111 nucleotides) under Fasciola gigantica. The record is from RNAcentral. Lineage: Eukaryota; Metazoa; Platyhelminthes; Trematoda; Plagiorchiida; Fasciolidae.
ACGGCAAACAUAUAAAUCUAGCGGUUCUCGUCUGAUGCCCGAAGUCAAGCAACGUUGGACCCGGUAAGUAGUUGCACGGCUGACCGGCUGGGAAUGCCGGGUGUUGCGGCC